RNAcentral lists this long non-coding RNA (380 nucleotides) under Salvia miltiorrhiza (redroot sage). Its description in RNAcentral is "long non-coding RNA (SMIL_LNC012863)". Lineage: Eukaryota; Viridiplantae; Streptophyta; Magnoliopsida; Lamiales; Lamiaceae. The record is from RNAcentral.
UGCUCUGCCUGUGGCUCAGGCUCCUCCGUCUGAGCCUGUCCUGCCGAACUGGACUGUCCCCACUCAUGUGGUGCAAUAGAAGUGAGCGGUUCAGCAAAGAAUAUCGGGGUCUCUGUUCUAUACUGCGGCUUCAGGAAUGGGGAAGACCAAUGAGGGUAGACCUGGGUCGACCAGUCAAAAGUCUGCUCCGCCGGUGUGUAGUCGCCCUGAACAGACUGAUUCAUGGCCCGCCACUGCUCGUUGUAAUCCUGGGUCUCUGGAUGGCGUGGUUCCUCACCGCGGGGGUCGUCGUCGCAGGAACGUGAAACGCUUGGCCCUGAAGCGUCGGGCCCUGAAGUACUGGGUGGAGGAGACCGUCGCUGUGGAGGAGACCGUGGCUG